GCUGGCGGCGUGCCUAACACAUGCAAGUCGUACGAGUAAAGCUCCCUUCGGGGGGUGAGUAAAGUGGCGAACUGGUGAGUAACACGUGGGUAAUCUGCCCUAAAGAUCGGGAUAACCUCGGGAAACCUGGGCUAAUACCGGAUACGACGUUAUCACUUAAGUGGUGGCGUGAAAGGUGGGGAUCUUCGGACCUGCCGCUUUAGGAUGAGCCCGCGGCUGAUUAGCUUGUUGGUGGGGUAAUGGCCUACCAAGGCGACGAUCAGUAGCCGGCCUGAGAGGGUGAUCGGCCACAUUGGGACUGAGAUACGGCCCAGACUCCUACGGGAGGCAGCAGUGGGGAAUAUUGCGCAAUGGACGAAAGUCUGACGCAGCAACGCCGCGUGAGCGAUGAAGGCCUUCGGGUCGUAAAGCUCUGUCAGGAGGGAAGAAACCACAGGGGAAGAUAACGCCUCUGUGCUGACGGUACCUCCAAAGGAAGCCACGGCUAACUCCGUGCCAGCAGCCGCGGUAAUACGGAGGUGGCAAGCGUUGUUCGGAAUCACUGGGCGUAAAGCGCGCGUAGGUGGUCUGCUAAGUCGGGA
Molecule: ribosomal RNA, 581 nt
Filed under: uncultured Pseudomonadota bacterium
Lineage: Bacteria; Pseudomonadati; Pseudomonadota
Description: bacterial SSU rRNA
Rfam family: Bacterial small subunit ribosomal RNA
Source: RNAcentral